Molecule: ribosomal RNA, 301 nt
Filed under: uncultured bacterium
Lineage: Bacteria
Description: partial 16S ribosomal RNA
Rfam family: Bacterial small subunit ribosomal RNA
Source: RNAcentral
CAGUAGCCGCGGUAAAACGGAGGGUGCAAGCGUUAAUCGGAAUUACUGGGCGUAAAGCGCACGCAGGCGGUCUGACAAGUCAGAUGUGAAAUCCCCGGGCUUAACCUGGGAACUGCAUUUGAAACUGUCAGGCUGGAGUCUUGUAGAGGGGGGUGGAAUUCCAGGUGUAGCGGUGAAAUGCGUAGAGAUCUGGAGGAAUACCGGUGGCGAAGGCGGCCCCCUGGACAAAGACUGACGCUCAGGUGCGAAAGCGUGGGGAGCAAACAGGAUUAGAUACCCCUGUAGUCCCUGUCUCUUAUAC